Molecule: transfer RNA, 77 nt
Filed under: Hyphomonas sp.
Lineage: Bacteria; Pseudomonadati; Pseudomonadota; Alphaproteobacteria; Hyphomonadales; Hyphomonadaceae
Also listed under: 2 other names
Description: tRNA-Arg
Rfam family: tRNA
About the family: Transfer RNA (tRNA) molecules are approximately 80 nucleotides in length. Their secondary structure includes four short double-helical elements and three loops (D, anti-codon, and T loops). Further hydrogen bonds mediate the characteristic L-shaped molecular structure. tRNAs have two regions of fundamental functional importance: the anti-codon, which is responsible for specific mRNA codon recognition, and the 3' end, to which the tRNAs corresponding amino acid is attached (by aminoacyl-tRNA synthetases). tRNAs cope with the degeneracy of the genetic code in two manners: having more than one tRNA (with a specific anti-codon) for a particular amino acid; and 'wobble' base-pairing, i.e. permitting non-standard base-pairing at the 3rd anti-codon position.
Source: RNAcentral
GACUCCGUAGCUCAGCUGGAUAGAGCGCUCGCCUUCUAAGCGAGUGGUCGCAGGUUCAAAUCCUGCCGGGGUCGCCA